RNAcentral lists this ribosomal RNA (543 nucleotides) under Triticum aestivum (bread wheat). RNAcentral describes it as "partial small subunit ribosomal RNA". Lineage: Eukaryota; Viridiplantae; Streptophyta; Magnoliopsida; Poales; Poaceae. The record is from RNAcentral.
AUGGAGGCGUCCCGGUUUGGCUUCCAGAUGGCGCCGGCGUUCAAGUUCGAUCCGACGGACGCGGACCUCGUCGCCCACUACCUCCUCCCGCGCGCGCUCGGCGUCCCCGACCCGCCCUUCGCCCACGCCGUCAUCGACGACGACCCGGCCGGCCUCCCGCCGGCCGACCUGUUCGCGAAGCACGGCCACGGCGGCAGCCAGCACGCCUUCUUCCUGCACACCGCCGACACCGACGCGCCGGAGAGCAGCAAGCGCGCCGUCAAGGGCGGCGCCGGCGGCCGGUGGCGCGGCCAGAAGGCCUCCGUCGAGUCCGUCACCCUGGUGCACCCUGACGGCGGCGAGCUGGACAUGAAGUACAGGCGCUCUGAGCUCACCUAUGAACGCGACGCGGGCAACGGGGAGGGCGCUGGCGCGGCCGCGGAUGCCACCGGCUGGGUCAUGCACGAGUACCAGAUCGUGUCGCCCCCGCUCCAGGCGACGGUGCUCAGCCGCAUCAGCAAGGUCAGGGAGGACCAGCAGCCGGCCGCCGCCGCUCAAAACUGA